GAGCGAAUCGAUGGGAGCUUGCUCCCUGAGAUUAGCGGCGGACGGGUGAGUAACACGUGGGCAACCUGCCUAUAAGACUGGGAUAACUUCGGGAAACCGGAGCUAAUACCGGAUACGUUCUUUUCUCGCAUGAGAGAAGAUGGAAAGACGGUUUACGCUGUCACUUAUAGAUGGGCCCGCGGCGCAUUAGCUAGUUGGUGAGGUAAUGGCUCACCAAGGCGACGAUGCGUAGCCGACCUGAGAGGGUGAUCGGCCACACUGGGACUGAGACACGGCCCAGACUCCUACGGGAGGCAGCAGUAGGGAAUCUUCCGCAAUGGACGAAAGUCUGACGGAGCAACGCCGCGUGAACGAAGAAGGCCUUCGGGUCGUAAAGUUCUGUUGUUAGGGAAGAACAAGUACCAGAGUAACUGCUGGUACCUUGACGGUACCUAACCAGAAAGCCACGGCUAACUACGUGCCAGCAGCCGCGGUAAUACGUAGGUGGCAAGCGUUGUCCGGAAUUAUUGGGCGUAAAGCGCGCGCAGGUGGUUCCUUAAGUCUGAUGUGAAAGCCCACGGCUCAACCGUG
Molecule: ribosomal RNA, 570 nt
Filed under: Bacillus sp. ISP2-42-14
Lineage: Bacteria; Bacillati; Bacillota; Bacilli; Caryophanales; Bacillaceae
Description: bacterial SSU rRNA
Rfam family: Bacterial small subunit ribosomal RNA
Source: RNAcentral